AGUGCUUUUCUUUUAGUGUAUAUUUUCAUUACACCACUGUACACAAACUGAUAUACACAUAUAUAUAUAUAUAUAUAUAUAUAUAUAUAUAUAUAUAUAUAUAUAUAUAUAUAUAUAUAUAUAUAUAUAUUAUUAUUAUUUUUUUUUUUUUUUUUGCAUUCUUGAAGAGUUUCACAUACAGAUAACAACAUGCUCAAAACUAUCCCAACUCACACAAAUCUGCAAAAAAUAAAACCAGUAGUAUGCGUGUAACUUUUUAAAAAAAAAAAAAAAAAAAACAAUAUGCACAUUCACACAUAUGCAUUUCUGAAAAAAAAAGUGACUUGACAUACAGCCAAGUAUGGUGACCCAUACUCAGAAUUCGUGCUCUGCAUUUAACCCAUCAAAAGUGCACACACACACCGUGAACACACACCCGGAGCAUUGGGCAGCCAUUUAUGCUGCAGUGCCCAGGGAGCAGUUUGGGGGUUCGGUACCUUGCUCAAGGGCACCUCAGUCGUGGUAUUGCCGGGCCAGUUAACCUUUUUCAUCAGUUAAGGAGAAACAUAAAGGGAGUAACAUAGGUAAAUUAGUUUAGAUAUGCCUUCUGCUUUGGUCAAGAGGAUUCUGCCCAUAAUAGACAGAUCUCUCAUAAGCCAAUGAUUAAGGGAUUUUUUCAUACUGUCAAUUCUCUCAUCUAUGUUUACUAAUUCUCGUAUAUGUAUUUCUUUACACAUUAUUAAACCUAAGUAUUUCACUUCAAAUUUAACAGGAAUGGAUUCUAUAUUUUCUUAAUUACAUGAAAACAAAGGAAAAAGUUUACUUUUUUUUUUUUUUUUUAUUUAGGCAUAAACCCGAUGCUCUUGAAAAGACUGGAAUAAUAUUCAGGGCUUUUUUAAAUAUAGAUUUAAUUUUUAAAAAUAUUACUGUGUCAUCAGCAAAUUGACUAAUAUUCGUAAUCAGAAAUGGUUAUUCCUUUUAACUGAGGAUGGUUGACAACUAAAUAAGCUAACAUUUGAGUGCAUAAUAUAAACAGUUUUGGAGAGAUUGGACAUCCUUGUCUAAUUCCACGCUAAAUAUCAAUUCUAGGAGUCAUACCUGGAUUAAGGGAUAUAUAACUAUAAAUGUUGUUAUAAAACAUUGUAAUAACCUUGCAAAACCCUGCCCCUUCCCCAAACAAUCUAAGUGUUGUAAAUAUAAAUUCAUACUCCACCGUAUCUAAUGCUUUAAAAAAAAAAAAAUCUAUAAAUAAAAUUAGGCUUUCUGAUUGUAUCAAUGAUCGAUAGUCGAUCAUAUCCAGGAUUAGUCUAAUAUGGUUUUGAAUAUACCUUCCCUUAAUGAAUGCUGAUUGAUACUCCUCUACAAGUUUCCCAAGAACCUGUUUAAGACGAUUAGCAUACACAAUGGCAAGUAAUUUAUAAUCUGUACAUAAUAGAGUUAUUGGUCACCAAUUAUCUAAUAAUAGCAACUGUUUAUUGGGUUUAGGUAGCAAGGUUAUUAAACCUGUUUUCUUAGUAAGUAAUAAGCUUCCUUCCUGAAUGCGUUCUAAAAAUGCAUUAUAUAAUAAUUUCCGAAUAUCUUUCAAAAAAUGUUUUAAAAAUUCAGUAGUACCUGGUGAUUUAUUAUUAUUCAUAUGUUUUAAAGCUACAUCCAUUUCCUCUAAAGUCAACUCAUCAUCAAUUAAG
Molecule: long non-coding RNA, 1664 nt
Organism: Cyprinus carpio carpio
Lineage: Eukaryota; Metazoa; Chordata; Actinopteri; Cypriniformes; Cyprinidae
Source: Ensembl